Molecule: long non-coding RNA, 491 nt
Filed under: Phasianus colchicus (ring-necked pheasant)
Lineage: Eukaryota; Metazoa; Chordata; Aves; Galliformes; Phasianidae
Description: lncRNA (ENSPCLG00000021377.1)
Source: RNAcentral
GGGCAGGGAUGCAGUGUGGACUUCCAACAACUCCCAGAGCUACCCAAGAUCUUGGAGAUCUUCAGGGAUACCUGACCCUUCCCAGUACCCCUAUGCCCUGACCAGGACUCCGGGAAUCAGCCCCCUCACCCUCCUCCAGUUCUUACUGGAACCCUCUAGCCCUGAGCCUCCAAUCCUGACCAUGUGGUGGUCCCAGUGCCCUUGUUGUGGUCCCAGGAGCAGGGCAGAGCGAAGCACUGCGGAAGAUCGUGAUGGAUGCCUUGCAUUUACUGGAGAAGCAGAAGGACAAGAAGCCUUUCGAGGUGUCCCUGCAAGAAGCCAUCCAAAUGAUUUGGGUGAAGCUGAGCCAGUUGGAGCAAGCUCCUGCCUGCAUCCCCCCCUGCGGGCACCAGCCGGCGGCCCGCAUCUUCCAGUGCUCAACCUGCCGCCUCGUGGACUGCCAGUUCCCUGUAGACUGCCCAGUUCAGGAUGUGUGGGUCCACGAGGAUGAA